Molecule: unclassified non-coding RNA, 544 nt
Filed under: Hevea brasiliensis (rubber tree)
Lineage: Eukaryota; Viridiplantae; Streptophyta; Magnoliopsida; Malpighiales; Euphorbiaceae
Source: RNAcentral
AAGAAUUUGGUGGAGGGGGAGGAGGGGAUUGCACACAAGGAGGCAAUGGUGAAGAUGGUGGUGGAGAUGGAGGAGGAGGUGAUGGAGGUGGAGGUGGAGGAGACGGUGUGGGAGGAGAUGGUGGAGGUGGGGAAGGUGGAGGAGGGGGAGGAGAGUAAACUGGCGGAGGUGGAGGUGGGGGCGAAGGUGGUAGGGGAGAAGGAGGUGGUGGAGGGGGUGAAAACACUGGUAGUGGGGGUGAAGGUGGAGGGAGAGGUGGUGAAUAAACCGGUGGAGGAGGAGGUGAGUAAGCUGGUGGCGGAGGUGGAGGUGAUGAUAACGGAAUAACAACAGGUGGUGGUGGUGAAGGCGGAGGAGGAGCAGGCAAAGAGGGAACAAAAGGUUUACAUCUAAACGCAUUACAAUCAACAGGCUUAGAUAAAAAUGCCUUGCAUUGUGCCGCAGAUCUUUGUGAGGGCCUUGCCGGCAAGCAAUUCCUCCUGUCGUCGAAUUCCUUGAGGUUCAAGCAGACUGGUGGCUCUCCAGUGAAGAAGUUAUAAGAAAA